Centruroides sculpturatus (bark scorpion) is the source of this 150-nucleotide long non-coding RNA. RefSeq lists it as uncharacterized. The record is from RefSeq and is a predicted model, not a curated record. The transcript is spliced from 3 exons. NCBI's taxonomy places the organism in Eukaryota, Metazoa, Arthropoda, Arachnida, Scorpiones, Buthidae.
UAGAUUGCUUUGAAACGGACGUUCAUUAACAAAAGAAUAAUAUAUAUUUCGAUGAGAAAAAUUAGAAAAAAAAGAAAAGAAAGAAAGAAAAAGGAUUAUGUGACGAUCAAUUGUGGAGAACAGUUUCUGUUCGUAGGAUCGAAGGUUUGG